AAGUGGACGAACCUCUAGUGUACCAGUUGUUCCGUCAGGGGCAUCGCUGGGUAGCUACGUUCGGAAAGGAUAAGCGCUGAAAGCAUAUAAGCGCGAAACCCACCCUAAGAUUGGAUUUCCCUGCCUUUAUGGCAAUAAGGUUCGUUGAAGACUACAACGUUGAUAGGCCACAGGUGUAAGAUCAGUAAUGGUUUCAGCCGAGUGGUACUAAUAAACCGAAUGGCUUUACUAAA
This 233-nucleotide ribosomal RNA is filed under the name Fidelibacterota bacterium. RNAcentral's name for it is "partial 23S ribosomal RNA". It matches the Rfam family "Bacterial large subunit ribosomal RNA", at positions 2695 to 2925 of the family's 2925-position model. Lineage: Bacteria; Pseudomonadati; Fidelibacterota. The record is from RNAcentral.